UACAGAGGUCCCGAGCGUUGUUCGGAUUCAUUGGGCGUAAAGGGUGCGUAGGCGGUCUGCUAAGUUUGGUGUGAAAUCCCGGGGCUCAACCCUGGAAUUGCAUUGAAUACUGGUGGACUAGAGUACUGGAGAGGAAACUGGAAUUUACGGUGUAGCAGUGAAAUGCGUAGAGAUCGUAAGGAAGACCAGUGGCGAAGGCGAGUUUCUGGACAGUAACUGACGCUGAGGCACGAAGGCCAGGGGGAGCAAAACGGG
This 255-nucleotide ribosomal RNA is filed under the name uncultured bacterium. RNAcentral describes it as "partial 16S ribosomal RNA". It matches the Rfam family "Bacterial small subunit ribosomal RNA", at positions 524 to 777 of the family's 1533-position model. The record is from RNAcentral.